RNAcentral lists this ribosomal RNA (753 nucleotides) under uncultured Actinomyces sp. Its description in RNAcentral is "bacterial SSU rRNA". It matches the Rfam family "Bacterial small subunit ribosomal RNA", at positions 28 to 776 of the family's 1533-position model. The record is from RNAcentral. Lineage: Bacteria; Bacillati; Actinomycetota; Actinomycetes; Actinomycetales; Actinomycetaceae.
GACGAACGCUGGCGGCGUGCUUAGCACAUGCAAGUCGAACGAAAAUACCAAGCUUGCUUGGUUGAUUAGUGGCGAACGGGUGAGUAACACGUGAGUAACCUGCCCCUUACUUUCUGGAUAACUGCUCGAAAGGGUAGCUAAUACGGGAUAUUCUGGCCUUCCUGCAUGGGUUGGUUUGGAAAGGUUUUUUUCUGGUGAGGGAUGGGCUCGCGGCCUAUCAGCUUGUUGGUGGGGUGAUGGCCUACCAAGGCUUUGACGGGUAGCCGGCCUGAGAGGGUGGACGGUCACACUGGGACUGAGAUACGGCCCAGACUCCUACGGGAGGCAGCAGUGGGGAAUAUUGCACAAUGGGCGCAAGCCUGAUGCAGCGACGCCGCGUGAGGGAUGAAGGCCUUCGGGUUGUAAACCUCUUUCGUCAGGGAACAAGGCACUGCUUUUGGUGGUGUUGAGGGUACCUGGAUAAGAAGCGCCGGCUAACUACGUGCCAGCAGCCGCGGUAAUACGUAGGGCGCAAGCGUUGUCCGGAAUUAUUGGGCGUAAAGAGCUCGUAGGCGGCUGGUCGCGUCUGUCGUGAAAACUUCCGGCUCAACCGGGGGCUUGCGGUGGGUACGGGCCGGCUAGAGUGCGGUAGGGGUAACUGGAACUCCUGGUGUAGCGGUGGAAUGCGCAGAUAUCAGGAAGAACACCGAUGGCGAAGGCAGGUUACUGGGCCGUUACUGACGCUGAGGAGCGAAAGCGUGGGGAGCGAACAGG